CGGCGUGCUGAAACGAAAAAGAUCAUAUUGGCUAUAGUGAAACAGGACUCGUCAAAGGACUUUCGCCGCUUAAGCUACUCGUUUGGCUUCGACCAGAGCUCUCAACGAAUACCCUGGUUAGCCGAUUAAGUGGCUCGAGGCUUCUGUAACUAGGAUUCGAGCACGUUAGCAUGCAGAAUCCGAACUGGCCAGGGGAAAUUGAAUUAAUCUCGAGUAUCGAACGAGAGUUCGAUGCAACGAGUAGGUGAAACGCGAUGGACCCUCGAGACGCCGUAUCCUCUCCUCCUUUCCCUUCCUCUUUCCAUCUAGCUCUCCACCAAUUACGCGAGACACAAAAUUAUGGGUAAUUGGCCCUUCACCUUCCUCCACGUCCUUCAGAAAUGCUCGGCUGGAACGUGCUGGAUCUCUUUGUCUUACCCGAUGGACCAUCGUACGAGACGCGAGAACAGGUUUACAGGCCAGUUGUUCGGAAUUUCAUAGAGAGCUAUGAUAGCCUAGAAGGGUAGCAAGAGUAUUCGACGCGUUGUAACUUUUCUAUCUAGCUGCGCGUACUUAUUAUAGAUUGUUAAACGUCCAUUCUCGAGAUAUUAAAAGGCAGAACGUUUAAUCGAAUUCCACGGCUACUCUCCCUAAUUCCAAAUUAAUUCCCGUGAAAUGAAAUUGAGACCUUGUCCGGGGAAGAGAGACGGCGAUGCGUGUCGACGGUGCAUGAAAACGAGCGUUUCGCGUGCGCAAUAGCUGUCCGGUACCUAUGACGCGGAUCCCGUGGAAUCUCGUUUCGCUUCAAGCGAGACCGUGCUGGAUUUUCGCGAAAAACGAACGAGAGGAACACCACCUAACGCGAUCAUCGCAAUAGCAAUGCACCCUCUGUUCUCGUUCAAUCAACGUUCCAACGAGAAUCCAACGGCUGCAGCGAUAAAUCCGAAUAGAAACGCCCCCUUUUCAACGAAAUCUAAGAAAAUGAACGGGAAACCGGAGGAGAUUUCUCCAAACAACGAAUCUACGAUUUCUGAAGGGAAAGAGUGUACUCGAAGCUCGAAGCGAGGUAGAUGAAUCUAAGACUGGCUGGAGUUUGAAGAAAGAAGAACGUGGUUUGCGUUAAUUUCCUCGGAUUGCCUUUUCGUUUGCACAAACGUUGCUGCGGUGCAGAGAAGUAAAGGGAAGGCCGAGUCUUUAUGCAAAUUUAAAAUAAAGCUCGCAAUCUGACGGUGGCUCCCGAACGAAGAAUAUCGUCGUCCGUCCUGGUACAGAACAUUCCCCUCCCUUCCAAUCCCCCCUCUCCAGUCUACCGUCCAUGUAUAUUUCGUCUGGGCUCCUUAAUUGCAGCCUAUUCUGCGUGCACCGGCUCGCCACGGCCACUUAACUUCCCCGCGAGACACUCGACGAUUAUAUUUGCACCCAGACACGUGCCCCCGCACCACCUUCCCGCUCUCGUCUCGCUCGCGCACACGGUAUCCCUGAAAUUCGCGCGCGUGUUUUGUCUCCACGCGUGCAUCCCUCACGCGCGCACUACUUGAAAAGCGAACCGUCGUUGCACGCGCUGGAACGCUAAUCGACUGCCUUCCCUGGGUAAUUAUAGAGCGCCUAACCGAGGACAAUCGAUUUCUUCGCGCGAUCUCGGCACUGCGCGGUUCCUUCUCGCGUGCUUUUACUCGCUUUGCGAUCCAGUCGGUUAGCCGAUUUGGUGGUGCUGCAACUGGUGUCGCGUGAAACGGUUGUUAAAUUCUUGAAUUUUUGAAAUUUCCAAUCUUUGAAUUUCUGAAAUCGAAUUUUCGAUUCGAUGAUUUUCGAUGAAUCGAAAUUUCGAGAUUUCGAAUUUUCAAGUUUGCGAUUUCUUGAAUUUUUCAAUUAUAUUCUUCAGCGCCUUUGAUGGAACAAUUUAAAUAUACAUUCGUUUCGUGUUUGCGCCGACCUGGUUCUCCAUGCACUUGAUCAACGCUUCGUUAGGUUCGAAGUUGCAACGUCCACGCUCGAGAAAGCUACUUUUCUUUGAAGAGGAGCGAAUAAUGGGGAAAGUUGAUAUCUUACAGACGCCAAAUAGUAUCCGAUGUUUCGCGGAUCAUCACUUUCACUGUCUGAACUGUUGAAUAGGCGCGACGUCUCGUUGUUUGCAUAUGCCACAAUGGAGUUUAAGUCGCGUCGUUCCGUUACUAAACGUGCUCGAUUCAUUGCUCGUUUCACUUCCAGAAUCAAUAUCGAUACUUCUUUUCAUCGGUCUUCCAGACACAUAACUCUUAAAGAAUACUAAAUAUUACCAAGGCUUGUGCUAACAAUUUACGAGGGCUUAAAUGUAUACCGCUUUAAUACUCCAUAAAGUAUUUCUCCUCUUAUAAUGGACGAUAUCGAGGGGCAAGGUUACAAAGACAUUCGCGUUCAAAGUGGACGUUGGCAAGGAUAUCGGGCGUAUCGGAGGUAAUCGAUAUUUGAGGCACUCGAAAUGGCUGUCAAGCAACUUGGAGUGUCGUAAGGAGUAGCAAAAGGAGGCCACGUACACGGAAGAAAAAUAAGUGUUCGUUGGUAAUAGUCUCCAUUGAAGAGCUCGCUUUCUCUUUUAUUCUUUUCGACCGGUGACUGGUGGAAAGAACUCUGGACGAGUAACGAAGCACGCGCCCGAUCACAAGGGAUCGAUUGUCGAGACGUUGCGAAUGCACACGUCUCGAAUUGACUCGUACAAAUAACCGAGCUGUGCUCGUUCGACCAGCAAACGUUUCGAUCGACAUAUUUCACGUUGGUGCACUAUUAACGAUCUAAGACGCCAUCGAAUCGAACCUAUCUAUCUCUGUCCGUUCAAUUCUUCGGUUUUCUUGUUUAUUUCUCGAGCAAAGAAACUCGACGCAGUCAAGCAACCUCUUCUUUCGUGUCUCUCUGCUUGCGAUCAAGCCGAUACGCGUACGCUGUGUCGCCACAUAUUUACGCACGCCUCGUUGAUCAAUUCCAACGCCAUUGGGUCUCGUGGUCGCGCGAUCUACGCAAAUUUGAAAGUCGGUGGAAAUCGUGACCGCGAUGCGCCAACAGUCGAUCGAUCGUGACCGCGAUUUUUCAGAGAAGAAAGAUGACUAAAUGGAGAAAAAAUGUACGGUAGUUCUAUACUAACGAGCUGAAAUUUGUCUUGUUAAUUGAUCAUCGCUGUUUCCACCAGUUACCGACUUGUGGAUUGAAUUGUUGAACUCCUUUCCAAAUGAAACUUCAACUGCACAUAUCCAAGUUCGUAUAUUUAAUUAUCAUGAUUGAUAAUUGACUAAAUGGCAAAAUUUAAUGGUAUUAUGGCGGCACUCGAGCACGGAACUUUCCAACGGCUUCGCGACACAAAGCGCUAUAUCUUCAAAGCGUAAAGCCGACGUGCCUAAUGUGCCAUCGAUAUCCCUACGGUUCUUCCGCCGAAUGUUCGGAAAAAUGCAUGCGCGGCAACCGCCGGUACAUCUAAUAAACGCGUGUGUAGUAGGGAUAUCGAAGGGCAACUAAGGAAAGAAUCCGUUUGGUUUCGAACAGAAGAGUCAUUCUGCCUUAAGCCGCGAAGUGCGAAAGGUUCAGCAUCAUAGCGAGGCAAACACAAGCCGAGAUACGCGAUUGUAAACUCUCAAUGGUUAAUCAUAAGUGUGAAUCAUAUAUUGUUGACCUGUUGAUUGUUAAUAGUAAUAAACUUUUUGUUGAA
This is a long non-coding RNA of Bombus terrestris (buff-tailed bumblebee), 3652 nucleotides long. RefSeq lists it as uncharacterized. The transcript is spliced from 2 exons. Lineage: Eukaryota; Metazoa; Arthropoda; Insecta; Hymenoptera; Apidae. The record is from RefSeq and is a predicted model, not a curated record.